UACAGAGGCCUCGAGCGUUAAUCGGAAUCACUGGGCUUAAAGGGUGCGUAGGCGGCGCUGCAAGUGCCUUGUGAAAUCCCAUCGCUUAACGAUGGAACUGCUCGGUAGACUGCAGUGCUUGAGGUUGGUAGGGGCUGCCGGAACUCUAGGUGGAGCGGUGAAAUGCGUAGAUAUCUAGAGGAACGCCCAAGGCGAAGGCAGGCAGCUGGGCCAAUUCUGACGCUUAGGCACGAAAGCGUGGGGAGCAAACGGG
This 253-nucleotide ribosomal RNA is filed under the name uncultured bacterium. RNAcentral describes it as "partial 16S ribosomal RNA". It matches the Rfam family "Bacterial small subunit ribosomal RNA", at positions 524 to 776 of the family's 1533-position model. The record is from RNAcentral.